CGGGGCUGUUGGGUUCCGCGGUGGCGGGGUUCUUUGGUGGCUAAGCUUAAGUGGCAGCGGGUGGGCAUGGUCGAGCAGCGGCGGCGGGGUCUGUGGGGGUCGGGGGCGGUGGUAGAGGUGGUGGGUCGCGCUUGGGAAGUGGUGGUUGAGACUUUAGCGGCAGCGGCGGGUGGUAGGUUGUGCGGGGACGGCGUAGACGGCAGGGCGCACUGGUGGCCACGCGUACCUAGGCCGUCCUAGGGCUGGACUGACCUGGUCCCUACUGUAAGCGUCCGUGACCCCAGUAGUGUCUGACGCGGGGUCGGCAGCGACGCCUGACGAGGCGUAGCGGCGGCCAUCUUCGUUAUCUUUGACCACGACCAGCCCAGUCGGGCUGAACCUUGAGGGUGACAGUGACAGUACAGUGGUUCUACUCCUUAGUCCAAGUCUUUAAGGGUGUGUGUUGCGGAUCGUCUCGUAAAAACUGUUCUGUCCUUGGUUCAACGCAUGGACCGGCCCGUACUGGAGGGGCAACUACGACGACUACAACUAGGGCCGUAUCUCCGUUCGGAACAUCACCCGUAGGUACUACAGCACGGGCUUGCGGAACAGCCGCGGCCGCCACGUCAUGAUACUGGGGACGUGUUUACGUGUGUUAGUUAUAGUAAACUUUUGGAUGAUGGAAGUCACUUAACACCUGUUAAAACUCAAGUUCUUGUAUAAGCAAAAUACAAAAUAUACAUUCGAACUUGUCUAAACAACUCUUAAAAGAACGGACUCCCGGUCCCAUCGGUGGUUACCCGGUCGGUUCUCCGGUCAGGUGCAGGAAGACCUCCUCUCACAUGAGGACGAGUUAUGGUAUGGACAAACCCAAGUCUCUAAUCGGAUUAGUCAUGGCAUUGGCAUUCGUCUAUUCCUAUGUUUCCGAGGGAACGUCUCUCAACCGAGACCAGCACGAACUCCGGCGACAGCGAAUACCGGCAACAUGUGGUUCACGUUUCUGCAAAACACUUUUCAAGAUCAUGUCGAUAUGCCACCGGUGGGACUUCAAGAUGAUACCUACAUACGGUUCAAGAUAUUGCCGAUAUACGGCUGACAGUGCGAGGUCGAGCAGCAUAACGACCACCUCGACCACAGCCACGUUGUCGUUCACAGUCCCUGAGGAAGGAGCAACUGUGCCCGCCUCUGCGAGUUCUGCAACCGCGACGUCUCGUAAUAUGCAACAACAGUUCAACCGAGUGAAUAUAACCUUAUUCCUUUUUGUCGACUUCCAGUUUUCUUUAACAAACUCUUCCAGUUUUCAUACAAUUUCAUAUAAAAGACCUUGUGGUUGUGAGAAAACUUUAGUUACGACCGUUCAAAAACGUGGACGCAUGACGUCUUGCUUUCUUUGUAACACAGAAACAACAAGGUACGACUUAAUAACUCGGUUAACUACCUGCGGUACCCGGCUCUUGUUUUAAACUUCUUUAAUUGACUUCUAACGCAACUGAGAACUACCUAGGUACAUACGUACACGCGUUGACUUCAAGUUGAUACCUCACCUCUCGGCCUCCUGCCGCUCGCAGUCCCACUACCUCCUAACACCCGGUUUAGUUUACGGUACGUGCCCGAACGCAAUCACGCGAAACCACACACGCAAGAACCACACCACACUGACGAACUCACACACAAACACACACAUAAUAUCGUUCACAUGAACAACACACCAUGGGG
This 1695-nucleotide ribosomal RNA is filed under the name Triticum aestivum (bread wheat). RNAcentral describes it as "partial small subunit ribosomal RNA". The record is from RNAcentral. Lineage: Eukaryota; Viridiplantae; Streptophyta; Magnoliopsida; Poales; Poaceae.